UCCACUAUGCGGUGCAGUUUGCACUAAUUGUUUUGAGAAAUGUACUGUUGUGCAAAUGAUUAUUAUGAUUCGAGAAAUGCACCAACGCGGGUGAGGAACAACUCCUUU
Molecule: long non-coding RNA, 108 nt
Organism: Alosa sapidissima (American shad)
Lineage: Eukaryota; Metazoa; Chordata; Actinopteri; Clupeiformes; Clupeidae
Exons: 3
Source: RefSeq, a predicted model, not a curated record